This 501-nucleotide ribosomal RNA is filed under the name uncultured bacterium. RNAcentral's name for it is "bacterial SSU rRNA". It matches the Rfam family "Bacterial small subunit ribosomal RNA", at positions 29 to 523 of the family's 1533-position model. The record is from RNAcentral.
AAUGAACGCUGGCGGCGUGCUUAACACAUGCAAGUCGAGCGAGAAAGCCCCUUCGGGGGUGAGUACAGCGGCGGACGGGUGAGUAACACGUGAGAACCUACCCUUUAGUGAGGAAUACUCUCGAGAAAUCGGGGUUAAUACCGCAUGAGUCCCUUCGGGGAGAAAGAUGGCUUUUAUGCUGUCGCUAGAGGAUGGGCUUGCGGACUAUUAGCUUGUUGGUGAGGUAAAGGCUCACCAAGGCUUUGAUGGUUAGUCGGCCUGAGAGGGUGUACGGCCACAUUGGGACUGAGAUACGGCCCAGACUCCUACGGGAGGCAGCAGUGGGGAAUAUUGCGCAAUGGGCGAAAGCCUGACGCAGCGACGCCGCGUGGAGGAUGAAGGUUUUCGGAUCGUAAACUCCUGUUAGAUGGGAAGAAAAAGCUUUGUCCUUUAAUAGGGACUGAGUAAUGACGGUACCAUCAGAGAAAGCACUGGCUAACUUCGUGCCAGCCGCCGCGGUAA